GCCCCGCCCCACUGCCCGCUGGCCCUUCCGCUUCACUCAGCGGCGCCAGGGAGCAGGACGGGCACCGGGGCCAUGGAGAGGACAGCGGGCAAAGAGCUGGCCCUGGCGCCGCUGCAGGACUGGGGCGAGGAGACCGAGGAUGGCGCCGUGUACAGCGUCUCCCUGCGGCGGCAGCGCAGCCAGCGCUCGACCCCAGAGAGGUCUGGAGAAGGCCAGACCCCCAUCCCGGCUACCGACACCUUCCUUCAUUACCGAACCAGCAAGGUGCGGGCGCUGAGGGCCGCCCGACUGGAGCGGCUGGUGCAUGAGUUGGUGUCCGGAGACCGCGAGCAGGAUCCUGGCUUCGUGCCUGCCUUCCUGGCCACCCACCGGGCCUUUGUACCCACAGCCCGCGUUUUGGGUUUUCUGCUACCCCCGCCACCGCCGCCGCCACCACCUCCUGCUGGGGUAGACAGCAAGAGGACAGAGGGACAAGAUCUGAACUUCAGCAAGAACCUGAGGGCUGUAGUUUCGGUGCUGGGUUCUUGGCUGCGAAAUCAUCCUCAGGACUUCCGGGAUCCCCCUGAUCAUCAGAACCUAGGCAAUGUCCGAAUCUUUUUGGGCUGGGCAGCCCCAGGAGGGGCAGAAGCCAGGGAAGCAGAGAAACUUCUAGAAGAUUUCUUGAAGGAGGCUAAGGGAGAGCAGACAGAGGAGGAAAAGCGACUGGCUUGGUCAGGCCCUCCUAGGAUUGCCCAGACCCCCGGAUCGGAGUUUGCGGAGGACUGUGUGGAAGAGGAAGGCCCCAGUUCAGAAGGCCCAGAGCUCCUGGACUUCAGCGUGGAUGACGUGGCAGAGCAGCUGACCCUUAUGGAUGUGGAGCUCUUCUUGCGCGUGAGGUCCUGCGAAUGCCUGGGUUCCAUGUGGUCUCAGCGCGACCGGCCAGGAGCUGCAGGCAUCUCUCCCACAGUGCGUGCCACCGUAGCCCAGUUCAAUACGGUGACCGGCUGCGUGCUGGGCUCGGUGCUCGCUGCGCCCGGCCUGGCGGCCUCGCAGAGGGCACAGCGCAUCGAAAAAUGGAUUCGCAUCGCCCAGCGGUGCAGGGAACUACGAAAUUUCUCUUCAUUGCGAGCGAUCCUGUCCGCCCUGCAAUCUAACCCCAUCUACAGACUCAAGCGCAGCUGGGGAGCUGUGAGCCGGGAACCGCUGUCUGUUUUCAGGAAACUGUCACAGAUUUUUUCUGAUGAGGAUAACCAUCUCAGCAGCCGAGCGAUUCUUUCCCAGGAGGAGACCACUGAGGAUGAUGACUGCCCCUCAGGAAGUCUGCCAUCAGUAAGCAAAACUGCCCCCGGGUCCUGUCCCCUACCUUGGCACCUUCCUCACAGACUUGGUUAUGCUGGAUACAGCCUUACCGGAUACGUUGAAGGUUUGACCUCCCACCCUUGACUCUUGACCCCUGACCUAUUAUCCCCAACACAACAGUUCUCCAGACAUCCAGCUUUGAUCUAGCUUGAACUCAUAUUUCCCUCCACCCCCGCUUACCAUAGAGACUUGUGCCACCCUAGCUCUUAAGCUUGACUUUUGACCCUUGACCCUUGACCCUGGAUACUAUAGCUCAAGCCAGCUUUGCCCCCUCAGGGAAACCUCAUCAACUUUGAAAAGAGGAGGAAGGUAAGUGGGAGGGUGUUGGGGAUGGGUGAGAUGCCCAAGGGUGGGAGGCAGGCUGAGGCAGGAUCUCAGUAGACACCCCCCCAGGAGUGGGAGAUCCUGGCCCGAAUCCAGCAGCUACAGCAACGCUGCCAGCGCUACAGCCUGAGCCCCCGCCCGCCAAUCCUGGCUGCACUUCGAGCCCAGCGCCAGCUCAGCGAGGAGCAAAGCUACCGAGUCUCCCGUGUUAUUGAGCCACCAGCUGCCUCCUGUCCCAGCUCCCCUCGUAUCCGGCGACGCAUCAGCCUCACAAAGCGUCUCAGUGCGAAGCUGUCCCGAGAGAAGAACUCAUCUCCUGGCGGGAGUCCCGGGGAUCCGUCCUCACCUACCUCCAGUGUGUCUCCAGGUUCACCCCCAUCCAGCCCUAGAAACCGAGAGCCUCCUCCUCCGGGCAGUCCUCCAGCCUCCCCAGGGCCUCAGAGCCCCAGCACCAAGCUCUCCCUGACCAUGGACCCACCAGGGCCCUGGCCCGUGACCUUGACUCCGAGCAGCUCCCGAGUUCCCCUCCUCGGGCAGCAGACGUCAGAGGCCCGCGUCAUCAGAGUCAGCAUCAACAAUAACCACGGGAACCUGUAUCGGAGCAUCUUGCUUACUUGUCAGGACAAAGCCCCCAGCGUGGUGCAAAGAGCCCUGGAGAAGCACAAUGUGCCCCAGCCCUGGGCCCGUGACUACCAGCUCUUCCAGGUCCUGCCUGGGGACAGAGAGCUCCUGAUUCCAGACGGUGCCAACGUCUUCUACGCUAUGAGCCCAGCUGCCCCUGGUGACUUCUUGCUUCGUCGGAAAGAGGGGACAGGACAUACACUGUCUGCCUCCCCAACCUGAGGUGGUGCUCUCCUUGUUCUGGGCCAGAGGCACAGCUGAUAGCUUGGAACUUGGAUUCUACUACUAUCAAAGUAGGGGCCUAUUUUCUGGAGAGCCUCCACCCCCACUCAUGGAAGCUAUUUUGCUCUGUACCCCGGGGAUCCCCAGCAUUAGGCCAUUGGACCCCAUCUCUCUGACUCCCUGAGCCCCUCCCUGCCCAUUAUUCUAAGACCAUGGAUGUGUGAGGAGAGUGUAAAACUAGGAAAAAUUAAGAACCCAUAGAGCUGGGAGCUUAGCUUAGGUGGGCGAGCACCUGCCUAGCAGGCCCCAGACCCUGGAUGGUUUCUCAGCACUUCUAAAAAUAAAAGUCUUCAGGGGUUUUGCACUUCGGUCACAUCCUAACAUCCAGGACUUUGAGAUCCAGCACUGAGCAUAACCAACGAGGUGAUGCUCACCCACAAUCCCAGAGCUUGGGGGAGGGGGAGGAGGGACGGAUCAGGACAGUCAUCUUUGGCUACAUAGUGAGUGCAAGGCAAACCUGGGCUACAUCAUGAAACCCCAUUCAAAACAGAAAACUCCCGAGAAGAGGUUGGGGAAAUCCUAAGGGAAGUUCAGGGUUUCCUUGCCCACAGAUUCAGGAGGGGCGGUCCUGCUUUUCUGUCACAUUCGUGGAUAAAUGGGAAGAGGGAAAAGGUUAUCCAUCCCUUGCAAAUACAGACAGUGAGAAACUGGG
RNA transcript from Mus musculus (house mouse), 3217 nucleotides. It is a transcript of the gene named ral guanine nucleotide dissociation stimulator-like 3, with no coding region annotated. NCBI's taxonomy places the organism in Eukaryota, Metazoa, Chordata, Mammalia, Rodentia, Muridae. The record is from RefSeq and is marked validated. The transcript has 17 exons.